Molecule: ribosomal RNA, 578 nt
Filed under: Vibrio sp.
Lineage: Bacteria; Pseudomonadati; Pseudomonadota; Gammaproteobacteria; Vibrionales; Vibrionaceae
Description: bacterial SSU rRNA
Rfam family: Bacterial small subunit ribosomal RNA
Source: RNAcentral
AUGCAGUCGAGCGGAACGAGUUAUCUGAACCUUCGGGGGACGAUAACGGCGUCGAGCGGCGGACGGGUGAGUAAUGCCUAGGAAAUUGCCCUGAUGUGGGGGAUAACCAUUGGAAACGAUGGCUAAUACCGCAUGAUGCCUACGGGCCAAAGAGGGGGACCUUCGGGCCUCUCGCGUCAGGAUAUGCCUAGGUGGGAUUAGCUAGUUGGUGAGGUAAGGGCUCACCAAGGCGACGAUCCCUAGCUGGUCUGAGAGGAUGAUCAGCCACACUGGAACUGAGACACGGUCCAGACUCCUACGGGAGGCAGCAGUGGGGAAUAUUGCACAAUGGGCGCAAGCCUGAUGCAGCCAUGCCGCGUGUGUGAAGAAGGCCUUCGGGUUGUAAAGCACUUUCAGUCGUGAGGAAGGUAGUGUAGUUAAUAGCUGCAUUAUUUGACGUUAGCGACAGAAGAAGCACCGGCUAACUCCGUGCCAGCAGCCGCGGUAAUACGGAGGGUGCGAGCGUUAAUCGGAAUUACUGGGCGUAAAGCGCAUGCAGGUGGUUUGUUAAGUCAGAUGUGAAAGCCCGGGGCUCAACC